GAGGCAGCAGUGGGGAAUAUUGCACAAUGGGCGGAAGCCUGAUGCAGCGACGCCGCGUGAGGGAUGACGGCCUUCGGGUUGUAAACCUCUUUCAGCAGGGAAGAAGCCACAAGUGACGGUACCUGCAGAAGAAGCGCCGGCUAACUACGUGCCAGCAGCCGCGGUAAUACGUAGGGCGCAAGCGUUGUCCGGAAUUAUUGGGCGUAAAGAGCUCGUAGGCGGUUUGUCGCGUCUGCUGUGAAAGCCCGGGGCUCAACCCCGGGUCUGCAGUGGGUACGGGCAGACUAGAGUGCAGUAGGGGAGACUGGAAUUCCUGGUGUAGCGGUGAAAUGCGCAGAUAUCAGGAGGAACACCGAUGGCGAAGGCAGGUCUCUGGGCUGUUACUGACGCUGAGGAGCGAAAGCAUGGGGAGCGAACAGGAUUAGAUACCCUGGUAGUCCAUGCCGUAAACGUUGGGCACUAGGUGUGGGGGACAUUCCACGUUCUCCGCGCCGUAGCUAACGCAUUAAGUGCCCCGCCUGGGGAGUACGGCCGCAAGGCUAAAACUCAAAGGAAUUGACGGGGGCCCGCACAAGCGGCGGAGCAUGCGGAUUAAUUCGAUGCAACGCGAAGAACCUUACCAAGGCUUGACAUUCACCGGACCGCACUGGAGACAGUGCUUCCCUUCGGGGUCGGUGGACAGGUGCUGCAUGGGCU
This 696-nucleotide ribosomal RNA is filed under the name Kocuria sp. Its description in RNAcentral is "bacterial SSU rRNA". It matches the Rfam family "Bacterial small subunit ribosomal RNA", at positions 345 to 1051 of the family's 1533-position model. Lineage: Bacteria; Bacillati; Actinomycetota; Actinomycetes; Micrococcales; Micrococcaceae. The record is from RNAcentral.